UACGUAGGAGGCAAGCGUUGUCCGGAGUUACUGGGCGUAAAGCGCACGCAGGCGGUCGUGUCAGUCUGGGGUGACAGUUCCCGGCUUAACCGGAAAGGACUCUGGAAACUGCACGACUUGAGGGCUUCAGAGGGAUGUGGAAUUCCAGGUGGAGUGGUGAAAUGCGUAGAGAAUCUGGAAGAACACCAAAGGCGAAGGCAGCAUCCUGGGAAGUUCCUGACGCGUCGGGUGGC
Molecule: ribosomal RNA, 233 nt
Filed under: uncultured bacterium
Lineage: Bacteria
Description: partial 16S ribosomal RNA
Rfam family: Bacterial small subunit ribosomal RNA
Source: RNAcentral